CUCUUGGCCAUUCUCAUUUCCUCAUCAGAGAAGUCUCUUUUUGGGUCUUUAGCCCAUUUGUUGAGGGGGCUGUUGGUUCUUUGAGGAUUUGUUUUGGAGGAAUUUAAUAUCUUGAGUUCUAAGUAUAUAUUAGAUAUCAGGUCUUUGCCCAUUGUAUGGCUAGUGAAGACCUUAUCCCAAUCUGUGGGUUUUCUGUUUAUCUUGCAAGCUAUGUCCUUUGCCCUGCAGAAGCUCUGCAG
This is a long non-coding RNA of Perognathus longimembris pacificus (Pacific pocket mouse), 239 nucleotides long. RefSeq lists it as uncharacterized. Lineage: Eukaryota; Metazoa; Chordata; Mammalia; Rodentia; Heteromyidae. The transcript has 3 exons. The record is from RefSeq and is a predicted model, not a curated record.